CGAAUGCUGACAUAAGUAACGAUAAAGCGGGUGAAAAGCCCGCUCGCCGGAAGACCAAGGGUUCCUGUCCAACGUUAAUCGGGGCAGGGUGAGUCGACCCCUAAGGCGAGGCCGAAAGGCGUAGUCGAUGGGAAACAGGUUAAUAUUCCUGUACUUGGUGUUACUGCGAAGGGGGGACGGAGAAGGCUAUGUUGGCCGGGCGACGGUUGUCCCGGUUUAAGCGUGUAGGCUGGUUUUCCAGGCAAAUCCGGAAAAUCAAGGCUGAGGCGUGAUGACGAGGCACUACGGUGCUGAAGCAACAAAUGCCCUGCUUCCAGGAAAAGCCUCUAAGCAUCAGGUAACAUCAAAUCGUACCCCAAACCGACACAGGUGGUCAGGUAGAGAAUACCAAGGCGCUUGAGAGAACUCGGGUGAAGGAACUAGGCAAAAUGGUGCCGUAACUUCGGGAGAAGGCACGCUGAUAUGUAGGUGAAGUCCCUCGCGGAUGGAGCUGAAAUCAGUCGAAGAUACCAGCUGGCUGCAACUGUUUAUUAAAAACACAGCACUGUGCAAACACGAAAGUGGACGUAUACGGUGUGACGCCUGCCCGGUGCCGGAAGGUUAAUUGAUGGGGUUAGCGCAAGCGAAGCUCUUGAUCGAAGCCCCGGUAAACGGCGGCCGUAACUAUAACGGUCCUAAGGUAGCGAAAUUCCUUGUCGGGUAAGUUCCGACCUGCACGAAUGGCGUAAUGAUGGCCAGGCUGUCUCCACCCGAGACUCAGUGAAAUUGAACUCGCUGUGAAGAUGCAGUGUACCCGCGGCAAGACGGAAAGACCCCGUGAACCUUUACUAUAGCUUGACACUGAACAUUGAGCCUUGAUGUGUAGGAUAGGUGGGAGGCUUUGAAGUGUGGACGCCAGUCUGCAUGGAGCCGACCUUGAAAUACCACCCUUUAAUGUUUGAUGUUCUAACGUUGACCCGUAAUCCGGGUUGCGGACAGUGUCUGGUGGGUAGUUUGACUGGGGCGGUCUCCUCCUAAAGAGUAACGGAGGAGCACGAAGGUUGGCUAAUCCUGGUCGGACAUCAGGAGGUUAGUGCAAUGGCAUAAGCCAGCUUGACUGCGAGCGUGACGGCGCGAGCAGGUGCGAAAGCAGGUCAUAGUGAUCCGGUGGUUCUGAAUGGAAGGGCCAUCGCUCAACGGAUAAAAGGUACUCCGGGGAUAACAGGCUGAUACCGCCCAAGAGUUCAUAUCGACGGCGGUGUUUGGCACCUCGAUG
Molecule: ribosomal RNA, 1255 nt
Filed under: Escherichia coli
Lineage: Bacteria; Pseudomonadati; Pseudomonadota; Gammaproteobacteria; Enterobacterales; Enterobacteriaceae
Description: partial 23S ribosomal RNA
Rfam family: Bacterial large subunit ribosomal RNA
Source: RNAcentral